Molecule: long non-coding RNA, 3790 nt
Organism: Gorilla gorilla gorilla (western lowland gorilla)
Lineage: Eukaryota; Metazoa; Chordata; Mammalia; Primates; Hominidae
Exons: 6
Source: RefSeq, a predicted model, not a curated record
AACAUGCUGGAGCAAGCUGGACAUGCUGAGCUCUGCACUCAAGGCUUCCUUGCCUGCAUCAGACCUGAGCUGCAGACAGCUUUAACUUGAAGGAUCUUACAAAUUGUACUUAUUUCAUUGGUCUAGCUAUUUUCAAAUCUGAAAUGAGACUUUUCUAGUGAGGGGGCCAGAAAAGCUAUGGGACUUGCCCAUGAUCCAAGAGGAAAAAUACACAGAGAGAAGGCUUAGAACGACUGUCUGUGAAACAAUACAGUUGCUUCAUGAGCAUAAAUCUUGUUCAUUUAACAAAGAUUGUCCCACAUUAGUCACACAGACACACACUUCUAUUAUAAAAGAUCAAAAGGCAUUAUAGUGAAAAUGUAAUAAUACAUAAAAAUGGGGGCUUAGGCCAGACAUGCAGACCACUGCUUUAAGAAACUGAAUGUAAUGAAGAAACUGAACAUGGCUUUUCUUUCUCUUUCCCCUACCCCAUCAUUUCCUGUUCUCUAUUGCCUCAUUUAUUUCUAUCAUUUCCAGCACUUGGGGACGUUUUUAGUUUAGUUUGAUUACAUUCAGUCCCACGGUGAGGCUAUGUAGAGAUAAAUAUAUCUGUAAGUCAGAAAUAUCGCAAACCCGAAGACGAAUAAUCGCAUUGCCUUGUCAUGUUGCUCUUAGUCAGAAAGUAGUGUCUGAAAACUAAAGAAUUACUCUUAAUAUACAGUUCUCUUCUAGGGACGGUAUUUGAUGUUAGAUCUUUGGUAACGUUGUUUUGUGGGAAAGGAUCUUUAUCUUAUGUAUCACCUUCAAAGGAGAAUAAAUAAGAAUGAGCAAGUUGAAGAAAACUCAAGCAAAAUGAAAGGGGCAAUUAUACCCUUGGUGAUUCUUAAUUGUCCCAAUUAACGAAGUCAGUUUCUGGAGUCUGAGCUGAAAAUGAAGCUUACAAUUCACCCUCAAUACAUGAAAUUUGCCCAGAAGCCUUUAUUCUUCUUACAGCGAUUCUGCUGUGAAUUCGUACGGAAUGGGCUCCAGCAGCUCAGGCUACUUUCCACUGGAUCUCACAAAGUGUGCUUCUCGAAGCAGGCUGGGGCUUCCCUUGAACCCAGAUUCCCACUUAUGUACCUAAAGGAGCAAGUCCAUGUUUUCCAAAAGGCCUGAAGAACAUAUAGCAGGAACUGAUUCAGAAUCCCAUAUCACAUUUUGUUAUUACUUUUGCCUGGUCUCCUGCUGUCUGGAACAGUUUUUCAGUCUUCCUUCAUUUUCAAGAGUGUGAAAGGAUCCCAAGACCAAAAGUCUGGGAACUGCUGGUUUACAGUCACAAUACUGACUGCUCAAAAUGACUUUUUAAAGAAGAAAGCCUUAAAAACCCUUGAGUGAAUGGUUGGUAUUUACAGACAGAAACAAGAGACCCAGCCUGAAUCUGUUGAAUGAACGAAAGGGGAAAUGCCCUAAGGAGUCAGAUGGAAGAAGUUUUUCUGGGAAGAGCAGAACACAGGAGGUGGGGUGCAGACCUCCUGGAUCACCAGCAGAAGGAAAAGAGCAGCGAGACGUUAAAGUGAUUGAGACAAAAAUGGAAGUAAAACAGCUUAAGGCUUUCUGAGAUCGAGUUCCUAGCAGUGUCAUCAGCAGAUGGUUUCUUCUGAAGUUCAGGGGAAGAGAAGAUGCUCGAAGAACUCUCCAGGGACUGAGUGGGUGGUACAGAGCUAGUGCUGUAGAUGCCAUGUAUACAGGCAAAUUCCCCAAUGAGUGUUUUCCAAUAUCAAGUUUAACUGGCAUUUAAGAUAUAUGCCAAAGGUAGGUAAAUUAUUUUGGCCUGUGCUUAUAGGUUUAUUUCCCUGGAUGAAGCUUUCUGUCUCUGUCCUAGUGCACUGUAGCGAUGCAGGGUCUUUCCAUACAAUACAUUAAAAGCUGCAUCCCAUUUUAAAUAUAUUAUAGAAACCCUGAUCGUACAAUACAUACAAGAUUUUUAAGAUCAGCCUUCAGUCGAUUUUUUUGCUUUAUUUUUGUUCUGGAGGUCAAAAUGAGUGGUUAACUGUCUAAGUUGAUUGUAGAGAAAGUUACUACUCAUUCUAAACGUAGGUUUUUAGAAAAAUGUACUUGGCAGUUGCUUCCAUUGGCUUUUUCCAACUUACAUGGGAAUCAAGAUUCAGAACUGGUACACCAAUGGGAAGAGCCUGGAAAAUAGACUAUUGAUCAAGAUGAAUCUGGUCCAGAUACUUUAAGACCUUUUCAGUGUGUUUGAAAGAUUAUAAGUUUGAACCAGCAGAAACUUCAAUGCUGUUUUUUCACAAGUCAAUGUGUAGUGUACUGUGUUAUUCUUUUUUUUCCUGUAAUAUCUUAAUAAUAUUCCUGGCUGUAAGAAAAAGUUAACACUAUACCUAUGUUUUGACUUACUUUAUAGAAGACCCAAACAAUAUUUAACAAAAGGAUUUUUCUCAAAUACUGUUUUGAAAUCACUAUAUUAGACACUAUCUUAAAUUUAUUUCUCAAUAUGCUUCUUUUUGAAACUUCCACAUUUUGGUGUUCUUUUCAGCAUCACUCAUUUUCUUUCAUAAUAAAGAUACCCAAUAACAAUAUCAUAAUAAAGAUUUGAUAACAAAUCUCCAGUUUUUGAGUGUUACAUUUCAUAUCUACAUGCUUACAGAGAAUUUAGUAUGAAUAUUCCCUGGCCUUAGUUCCUCUAAGCCUAGGAUACUUGUAGUCAUUUGGCAAAUAAUUUAAUCCAUGGCAAACAUGAGUCUUAAUACAAAAAUUAUUGAGUAGGCAAAAAAUAAUUGAACAUAUUUUGGACUGAUUACCAGUGUAUUAAAAAAGUAGAGGUUUAAGGAUGGGAAUAAUAAGUUUUUUUGUUUUUACUUAAAUGUAUAUAAAAGGAGUGAAAAUACAGUAGCCUAUAGUACUUAAGAGUGUGGGUAUAUUUUCAGCACUUAAUAAUUACUAGUUGAAUUGCAUAAUAUGGGACUAUAACUGAUAUGGUUUGGCUCUGUGUCCCCACCCAAAUCUCAUGUUGAAUUAUAAUUUCCAAUAUUGGAGGAGGUACCUAGUGGGAGGUGACUGGAUCAUUGGGGGAAAUUUCCCCCUUGCUGUCCUCAUGAUAGUGAGUGAGUUCUCACAAGAUCUGAUGGUUUAAAAGUGUGCGGCAUUUCCCCCUUUGCUCUUUCUCUCUCCUGCUGGCCAUGAGAAUAAGUGCUUGCUUCCCGUUCACCUUCUGCCAUGCUUGUGUUUCCUGAGGCUUCCCAGCCAUGCUUCUUGUUCAAGCUGCAGAACUGUGAGUCAAUUAAACCUCAUUUCUUCAUAAAUUACCCAGUCUCAGCUCUUUAUGGGAGUGUGAGAAUGGACUAAUAAAAUAUCUCUAGAAUUAUGUUUUUGGAGAUAAUUUAAAGAUAAACAAAUAUUGGAAACCUCAUUUGAUCACAUAAAGAACAGUAAAUGGAAGUUCUACUUUUUCUCCAGGGCCUUUCUCACGCUUAUGCUGGGAUUAUUCACCCAGAUAUCCUGAAAUAAGACAUCCAAUUAAGGUACCUGCUAUCUCAUGUAACACAGAAGAAAGUUGAGCAUAGAGGUUAAACAUUACCUAAUAUUGUUGGAAAAGCUUCGAAGCAUUCAUUUUCAAAGCAGCUAAUGUAAACCAUGAUAAUCACUGGUAGCACUAUGCCAUUUUAAAUACUUCAAUAUUUUGUAGUUAUUAGAUUCUAAGUAAGUAUAAAAUGUAGUGAAUAAAAAUUUUUUUUGCCUGAACAGUGUUAGACAAUAUAAAUGAAUGAGUUUUUAUUCUGUUUAAUAUUUUCAAGCCAAUAAAAACUUUACUAAAGUA